GAUGAACGCUGGCGGCGUGCCUAACACAUGCAAGUCGAACGGAGAUUACGGACGGAAGUUUUCGGAUGGAAGCCUGUAAUUCUUAGUGGCGGACGGGUGAGUAACGCGUGGGCAACCUGCCCUAUACAGGGGGAUAGCAGCUGGAAACGGCUGGUAAGACCGCAUAAGUCGGUUAAAUCGCAUGAUUUGAUCGGGAAAUGAGCAAUCAGGUAUAGGAUGGGCCCGCGUCCGAUUAGCCAGUUGGCAGGGUAAAAGCCUACCAAAGCGACGAUCGGUAGCCGGACUGAGAGGUCGGACGGCCACAUUGGGACUGAGACACGGCCCAAACUCCUACGGGAGGCAGCAGUGGGGGAUAUUGCGCAAUGGAGGAAACUCUGAUGCAGCGACGCCGCGUGAGUGAAGAAGUAUUUCGGUAUGUAAAGCUCUAUCAGCAGGGAAGAUGAUGACGGUACCUGACUAAGAAGCCCCGGCUAACUACGUG
RNAcentral lists this ribosomal RNA (481 nucleotides) under uncultured bacterium. RNAcentral's name for it is "partial 16S ribosomal RNA". It matches the Rfam family "Bacterial small subunit ribosomal RNA", at positions 28 to 507 of the family's 1533-position model. The record is from RNAcentral.